This 642-nucleotide ribosomal RNA is filed under the name uncultured bacterium. RNAcentral's name for it is "bacterial SSU rRNA". It matches the Rfam family "Bacterial small subunit ribosomal RNA", at positions 91 to 749 of the family's 1533-position model. The record is from RNAcentral.
CCUAGCGGCGGACGGGUGAGUAACGCGUGGGUAACCUGCCCUAUACAGGGGGAUAGCCUCGGGAAACCGGGAUUAAUACCCCAUAAAACUCUAAUAUCACAUGAUAUGUGAGUCAAAGAUUUAUCGGUAUAGGAUGGACCCGCGUCUGAUUAGCUAGUUGGUGGGGUAAUGGCCCACCAAGGCGACGAUCAGUAGCCGACCUGAGAGGGUGAUCGGCCACACUGGAACUGAGACACGGUCCAGACUCCUACGGGAGGCAGCAGUGGGGAAUAUUGCACAAUGGGCGCAAGCCUGAUGCAGCAACGCCGCGUGAGCGAUGAAGGCCUUCGGGUCGUAAAGCUCUGUCCUAAGGGAAGAACCAAAUGACGGUACCUUAGGAGGAAGCCCCGGCUAACUACGUGCCAGCAGCCGCGGUAAUACGUAGGGGGCAAGCGUUAUCCGGAAUCACUGGGCGUAAAGGGUGCGUAGGCGGCCAAUCAAGUCUGGGGUGAAAGGCUACGGCUUAACCGUAGUAAGCCUUGGAAACUGGUUGGCUUGAGUGCAGGGGAGGAGAGUGGAAUUCCUAGUGUAGCGGUGAAAUGCGUAGAUAUUAGGAGGAACACCAGUGGCGAAGGCGACUCUCUGGACUGUAACUGACGCUGA